CCUACGGGAGGCAGCAGUGAGGAAUAUUGGUCAAUGGACGAGAGUCUGAACCAGCCAAGUAGCGUGAAGGAUGACUGCCCUAUGGGUUGUAAACUUCUUUUAUAUGGGAAUAAAACGUUCCACGUGUGGGAUUUUGUAUGUACCAUAUGAAUAAGGAUCGGCUAACUCCGUGCCAGCAGCCGCGGUAAUACGGAGGAUCCGAGCGUUAUCCGGAUUUAUUGGGUUUAAAGGGAGCGUAGGUGGAUUGUUAAGUCAGUUGUGAAAGUUUGCGGCUCAACCGUAAAAUUGCAGUUGAAACUGGCAGUCUUGAGUACAGUAGAGGUAGGCGGAAUGCGUGGUGUAGCGGUGAAAUGCUUAGAUAUCACGAAGAACUCCGAUUGCGAAGGCAGUUCACUGGACUGCAACUGACACUGAGGCACGAAAGUGUGGGUAUCAAACAGGAUUAGAUACCCGAGUAGUC
This 460-nucleotide ribosomal RNA is filed under the name uncultured bacterium. Its description in RNAcentral is "partial 16S ribosomal RNA". It matches the Rfam family "Bacterial small subunit ribosomal RNA", at positions 338 to 795 of the family's 1533-position model. The record is from RNAcentral.